AUGAGGGGCGGAGGAGGGGCCGGCGAUAAGCAGCCGGCCAACGGCAUGCAUGGCGGCGCCGGCGGUGCCUCAGCCGGCAAGCCCAGGUCUUAUUUCCUCUACGGCAUCCUCCUCUACGCCGUCCUACCCGUGUUGUUCCUGUACAUGGUCGUCGCCGCGAUCUCGCCUAUCUACAACCCGCGGUGCUCGCCGGAGGGCGCCGGCGCCAUGGUGCAUUUCGUGGUGGCCAACCCGAAUGCGUCCUCGUCAAACACUUCGAUGAGACCGCCGAUGGUGUCGGCGGACGAUGCGCCCACCGGGCUGCGGCACAUCGUGUUCGGCAUCGGCGCCUCGUCGGCGCUGUGGGAGAGCCGUAAGGAGUACAUCAAGCUGUGGUGGCGGCCGGGGAGGAUGCGAGGUUUCGUGUGGAUGGACAAGCCCGUGGAGGAGUUCUACUCCAAGAGCUCGCGCACGGGGCUCCCGGCGAUCAUGGUGAGCUCGGACACGUCCAAGUUCCCGUACACGCACGGGGCCGGCAGCCGGUCGGCGCUGCGGAUCUCCCGCAUCGUCUCCGAGAGCUACCGCCUGGGCCUCCCGGGGGUCCGGUGGUUCGUGAUGGGCGACGACGACACGGUGUUCCUCCCGGAGAACCUGGUGCACGUGCUGUCCCGGUACGACCACACGCAGCCGUACUACAUCGGGUCGCCGUCGGAGAGCCACAUCCAGAACCUCAUCUUCUCCUACGGCAUGGCGUUCGGCGGCGGCGGGUUCGCCAUCAGCCGCGCGCUGGCGGAGGAGCUGGCCAAGAUGCAGGACGGGUGCCUGCACCGGUACCCGGCGCUGUACGGCAGCGACGACCGCAUCCACGCGUGCAUGUCGGAGCUGGGCGUGCCCCUGACGCGCCACCCGGGGUUCCACCAGUGCGACCUGUGGGGCGACGUGCUGGGCCUCCUGGGCGCGCACCCCGUGGCGCCGCUGGUGACGCUGCACCACCUCGACUUCCUGGAGCCGGUGUUCCCGACGACGCCGUCGCGGGCCGGGGCGCUGCGGAAGCUGUACGACGGGCCCGUGCGGCUCGACUCGGCGGCGGUGGCCCAGCAGUCGGUGUGCUACGACGGGGAGCACCAGUGGACGGUGUCGGUGUCGUGGGGGUUCGCGGUGAUGGUGGUGCGCGGGGUGCUGUCGCCGCGGGAGAUGGAGAUACCGGUGCGGUCGUUCCUCAACUGGUACCGGCGCGCCGACUACACGGCCUACUCCUUCAACACGCGGCCCGUGGCGCGGCAGCCGUGCCAGAAGCCCAACGUGUACUACAUGCGCGACUCGCGGAUGGACCGCCGCCGGAACGUGACGGUGACGGAGUACGAGCGGCACCGCGUGAAGCCGCCGCCCUGCCGGUGGCGCAUCGCCGACCCGGCCGCGCUCCUCGACCACAUCGUCGUCCUCAAGAAGCCCGACCCCGAUCUCUGGAAAAGGUCGCCGAGGAGAAAUUGCUGCAAGGUGCUGUCGUCGCCGAAGAAGGGGGAAAACCGGUCGAUGACGAUCAACGUCGGGGUGUGCAGAGAAGGCGAGUUCGCCAAGAUUUAA
RNAcentral lists this ribosomal RNA (1563 nucleotides) under Triticum aestivum (bread wheat). Its description in RNAcentral is "partial small subunit ribosomal RNA". Lineage: Eukaryota; Viridiplantae; Streptophyta; Magnoliopsida; Poales; Poaceae. The record is from RNAcentral.